Long non-coding RNA from Cynoglossus semilaevis (tongue sole), 766 nucleotides. RefSeq lists it as uncharacterized. Lineage: Eukaryota; Metazoa; Chordata; Actinopteri; Pleuronectiformes; Cynoglossidae. The record is from RefSeq and is a predicted model, not a curated record. The transcript has 2 exons.
UAAAAUUCAAGUUGAACAGGACGUUGGUUCCACGCACAGCAAAACUGGUCCGGACAUUGACAUUUAAAUUCAAGCCUGUAGUGACUGGUGUCGAGAACGUGGGACUCGAACUUUAGCCAACAGUGAUAAUGCUCUAGAACAUAUUAAAAUAUGACGGGACAUGGACUUGAAGACUCGGAAAUAAUGUGGAAAUUCUGCAACAGGAAGUGAAGUGGACUCGAACUCUAGUCCCAUUCGUCCCAUCUGUGAGUAUUGACUUAGAACCUAAUGGACAAAAAUGUGACGUCAUUAGCUCGUUGUAGAUACCAAAUAUUGGCCUAUGAAUACAUGAUAUGAGGUGCGCCUCCGCUAGAGGGCACUAGAGCAGAUUAGGAAAGACGAAAUUGAAAAACAAAAACAACAUGUAAAUUGUUAAUUAAUUUUGUAAUCGAGUAUUUAUUUAUUUAUUAUUUUUUUAAAUAAAUACAAAUAAUAGAAGUUUGCACCACGGAGAGAGCCACAAUGUUGACUGCUGUAUGAGUCACAUGACCAGUUUUGCUAUGUGGGAAGAUGAGACAUGAACAUGAGAAGUCAGUAUGGCCUGUGGAGGUUAGUAACCAUGAAGUACAUUGUUUAAAAAAAUACACAGUACAGUUUUAUUUAUAAAAAGGCAGGACAAUAUUGUAAAAUAUUUUUUUUGGCUUUUUUAGAAGCCAAACGCACAAGAGGUGACGUAACACUGGCUGUGUGAGUGUGGUGUAAACAUGUAAAAGUUACAACAAAAAAA